Molecule: RNA transcript, 1846 nt
Organism: Nycticebus coucang (slow loris)
Lineage: Eukaryota; Metazoa; Chordata; Mammalia; Primates; Lorisidae
Gene name: vimentin-like
Exons: 1
Source: RefSeq, a predicted model, not a curated record
CACUCUCGCCUCGGGGUCCCAGCGCCAGAGACGCAGCAGCGCUCCCACCACCGACACCCACUGCGCCCUAGCUCGCCUCACCUCCCGGAGGAGCCCGUCCGUACCGCCGCAGCUGCCCAGCCCACCACCACCCUCGGCAGCCAUGUACACCAGGUCCGUGUCCUGGUCCUCCUACCGCAGGAUGUUCGGUGGCCUCGGCACCGCGAGCCGGCCGAGCUCCAGCCGGAGCUACGUGACCACGUCCACGCGCAUGGGCAGCGCGCUACACCCCAGCACUAGCCGCAGCCUCUACUCCUCGUCCCCAGGCGGCGCGUUUGUCACCCGUUCCUCGGCCGUGUGCCUGCAGAGCAGUGUGCCCGGCGUGCAGCUGCUGCAGGACUCGGUGGACUUCUCGCUGGCCGACGCCAUCAACACCGAGUUCAAGAACACCAGCACCAACGAGAAGGUGGAGUUGCAGGAGCUGAACGACUGCUUUGCCAACUACAUCGACAAGGUGCAAUUCCUGGAGCAGCAGAACAAGAUCCUGCUGGCUGAGCUCGAGCCGCUCAAGGACCAGGGCAAGUCGCGCCUGGGGGACCUCUACAAGGAGGAGAUGCGCGAGCUGCGCGGGCAGGUGGACUAGCUCACCAACGACAAGGCCCGCGUCGAGGUGGAGCGCGACAACCUGACGGAGGACAUCAUGAGGCUCCGGGAGAAAUUACAGGAGGAGAUGCUGCAGAGAGAGGAAGCUGAGAGCACCCUGUAAUCCUUCAGACAGGAUGUUGAUAAUGCGUCUUUGGCACGUCUUGACCUUGAACGUAAAGUGGAAUCCUUGCAAGAAGAAAUCGCCUUUCUGAAGAAACUGCACGAUGAGGAAAUCCAGGAGCUGCAGGCCCAAAUUCAGGACCAACAUGUCCAAAUCGACAUGGAUGUUUCCAAACCUGACCUCAUGGCUGCCCUGCGUGACGUGCGUCAGCAGUAUGAAAGUGUGGCUGCCAAGAAUCUUCAGGAGGCAGAAUAAUGGUACAAGUCCAAGUUUGCUGACCUCUCUGAGGCUGCUAACCGCAACAAUGCUGCCUUGCGCCAAGCGAAGCAGGAAUCCAAUUGAGUACCGGAGACAGGUGCAGUCCCUCACCUGUGAAGUGGAUGCCCUAAAAGGAACUAAUGAGUCCCUGGAACGCCAGAUGCGUGAAAUGGAAGAGAACUUUUCUGUCGAAGCUGCUAACUACCAAGACACUAUUGGCCGCUUGCAGGAUGAGAUUCAGAACAUGAAGGAAGAAAUGGCCCGUCACCUUCGUGAAUACCAAGACCUGCUCAAUGUUAAGAUGGCUCUUGACAUUGAGAUCGCCCGCCUCCUACAGGAUCGCCCACCACCUACAGGAAGCUGCCUCUUCCAAACUUUUCCUGCUGAACCUGAGAGAAACCAAUCUGGAUUCACUCCCUCUGGUUGAUACCCACUCAAAGAGAACACUUCUGAUUAAGACUGUGGAAACUAGAGAUGGACAGGUUAUCAAUGAAACUUCUCAGCAUCACGAUGAUCUUCAAUAGAAUAGCAAUGUAUUACCAGCAAGAAUAAAAAAGCAAUGUGUAUCCUAUAGGAACAUCUUCCAAGUGCCUUUCUGCAGUUUUUCAGGAGCACAAGAUAGAUUUUGAAUAGCUAUAUGCUCUAGUUCCUAACCACCAACACUCCUAAAAGAUUUAGUAAAAAUGUUUACACCAUAAUCUAGUUUAUGAAGAAGUCUUGUGCUAGAAUACUUUUUAAAAAGUAUUUUUGAAUACCAUUAAAACUGCUUUUUUCCCCAUGCAGUAUUCAAUCUACUGGGUUCUGCUUCAAUAAAUCUUUGGUAAAACUAAAAAAAAAAUAAAU